Long non-coding RNA from Triticum aestivum (bread wheat), 937 nucleotides. RefSeq lists it as uncharacterized. NCBI's taxonomy places the organism in Eukaryota, Viridiplantae, Streptophyta, Magnoliopsida, Poales, Poaceae. The transcript has 3 exons. The record is from RefSeq and is a predicted model, not a curated record.
CGUAUUUCCGUUUGCCCCAAUACGUAUUCGUUCCUCCUCUUUCGCCUUCCCUGCCGACAGUCGACCGUCUGGAGCGGAGGCAUCGAGUGGAUCUGCUACCGCCCCGUACCGUCGUCGCGGCCUCCAGCAGGAGGUCCGCCGGCCCGUCCCAGAUUGCGGCUUCUCCCGUCGCAAGACCGGCUCCCCAUCUUGAUUCGUCCUCGCGCCAAAGGCCAGGUCUUGGAGUUGCUAGCAGCCAUGGUGGAGCUCGGGUCGGGAUAGUGGAGGUGGUAGUGGUGGCUGUUGUGCCGCCACUGAAGACCACGGCGGCGGUGGCAGGGCAGAGGCCGCGGCGAGCGACGAGGGCGGCCGCCAUCCAGCGGGUCUUCGGGGCCCCGACACCAUUCACGCAGCUGCCGACCUCGCCUGCUGCGCGCCAUGGAUGAGGCCACAGUUCAACUAAGUGAACAAACUACUCCUUAGAGCGAUGCAUGCAAAGUCAUAUGGUUGGAUUGAUCCUCAUCCAGGUGACAAUGGCGCUCCAUUACCAUAGUCAUCGACUACUGGUCUGUUUGUCAGCAGAGGAAAUGGUGCAACUAGUUCAACAAGAAGGACAAGAACAAUGAAAAGAGGAGAUAAAGAAGAAUACGAGUCGGAUUUCUUACUUUUGGUCCUGAAGAUCCAUUGCCGUGUUCAUGGUUCUCAUGACCACUGCUUGAAGAAGCCAUAGAGGACAAUGGUUUCCUUACUUUAAACCUCGGAUCGCUUGAUAUUUGCAGACUUUGCUAUCUGCCUGAAUUUGGUUUGUGGAUGCAAUCAGGCUCCAGAUUGAAAUGUCUUUCGCCUGGUAUUUAGGAUCUUGUGUUUGUAAAGGUUUGCCUAGUGCCUCUGUUUUCUAUAUUGGCGCCAAUAGUUAGUUUGGCGGACAUUUUCCCUCCAGAAACAGUUGUGGAUAUUA